CUGAGUGACACAAGUUAGAGUUUCAGCCACAGUGUUCCUUGCAGCAGGGAGAAUGAGGUGUCAGAUUUCCCGUCCUCCAAAAAUGACCCCUGGCAGUCAGAUCCAGUGACACUAGGUGUUUCUAAUUUUGGAACCUCGAUGCUGAGGAAGGAUAAGCAGGCGCCUCAAAGUUUCCAUGAGCAUUUUCUCAGAGCUACACAUUUCACUCUAGUGCUAGUAAAAACUUCCAGCCCCUGACCUGAGGAAGGUCACGUGACCUUUGUUCCUUGUCUCACUCUCCACAUUGCGUUUUCCAGUAAAGAUCUGGUAUGUUCUCUGCUUCUCACUCCUUGUAUCUUAGGAGAAAAGCGGGUAUUCUGCUCUGAAGGGAGAAAUGAAGAGACUGACGAGUUACCACUCCCGAAAGCCGUGGGAAGGUUCCGAUUGGGAAGAACUCUCACAUCCUCUCCUGGCAUCUCUAACCCCAAAGAUUUCCCCUCUUCUGUUCUGGAACUUACGCCCAGUGAGUGUGCACUACCCAGAGACAAUCCAGCCCGGAGUCCUGUCCUACUCCUCUCUGUCCUCGGCUUCAUCCUAGAGGCUGGCACACAGGACUCCACACUAAAACUGAAUGACGGAAACUCAAGGAAUUUCAAAGAGCCACUAAGUUGCAGACACCUUAUUUGA
This 666-nucleotide long non-coding RNA is filed under the name Cavia porcellus (domestic guinea pig). Its description in RNAcentral is "lncRNA (ENSCPOG00000034066.1)". Lineage: Eukaryota; Metazoa; Chordata; Mammalia; Rodentia; Caviidae. The record is from RNAcentral.